UACGAAGGUGGCGAGCGUUACUCGGAAUAACUAGGCGUAAAGGGCAGGUAGGUGGCUUGGUAAGUCUGUUGUGAAAGCUCCCGGCUUAACUGGGAGAGGCCAACAGAUACUGCUAGGCUUGAGUAUGGGAGAGGAUACUGGAAUUCCCGGUGUAGCGGUGAAAUGCGCAGAGAUCGGGAGGAACACCAAUGGCGAAAGCAAGUAUCUGGACCAUUACUGACACUCAGCUGCGAAAGCUAGGGGAGCAAACAGG
This 253-nucleotide unclassified non-coding RNA is filed under the name uncultured Elusimicrobia bacterium. RNAcentral's name for it is "contains 16S-23S intergenic spacer region". It matches the Rfam family "Bacterial small subunit ribosomal RNA", at positions 524 to 776 of the family's 1533-position model. The record is from RNAcentral. Lineage: Bacteria; Pseudomonadati; Elusimicrobiota; Elusimicrobia.